RNAcentral lists this ribosomal RNA (175 nucleotides) under uncultured bacterium. Its description in RNAcentral is "partial 16S ribosomal RNA". It matches the Rfam family "Bacterial small subunit ribosomal RNA", at positions 1325 to 1500 of the family's 1533-position model. The record is from RNAcentral.
GUCGGAAUCGCUAGUAAUCGCGGAUCAGCAUGCCGCGGUGAAUACGUUCCCGGGCCUUGCACACACCGCCCGUCACACCAUGAGAGUCGGGAACACCCGAAGUCCGUAGCCUAACAGCAAUGAGGGCGCGGCGAAGGUGGGUUCGAUAAUUGGGGUGAAGUCGUAACAAGGUAUC